CUAUGCGCCUUGCCAGCCCGCUCAGGUGUGCCAGCCGCCGCGGUAAUACAGAGGUCUCAAGCGUUGUUCGGAAUCACUGGGCGUAAAGCGUGCGCAGGCGGUUUCGUAAGUCGUGUGUGAAAGGCGGGGCUCAACCCCCGGACUGCACAUGAUACUGCGAGACUAGAGUAAUGGAGGGGGAACCGGAAUUCUCGGUGUAGCAGUAAAAUGCGUAGAUAUCGAGAGGAACACUCGUGGCGAAGGCGGGUUCCUGGACAUUAACUGACGCUGAGGCACGAAGGCCAGGGGAGCGAAAGGG
Molecule: ribosomal RNA, 298 nt
Filed under: uncultured bacterium
Lineage: Bacteria
Description: partial 16S ribosomal RNA
Rfam family: Bacterial small subunit ribosomal RNA
Source: RNAcentral